RNAcentral lists this ribosomal RNA (550 nucleotides) under uncultured bacterium. RNAcentral describes it as "bacterial SSU rRNA". It matches the Rfam family "Bacterial small subunit ribosomal RNA", at positions 334 to 877 of the family's 1533-position model. The record is from RNAcentral.
GCUUCCUACGGGAGGCAGCAGUGGGGAAUUUUGGACAAUGGGCGCAAGCCUGAUCCAGCAAUGCCGCGUGAGUGAAGAAGGCCUUCGGGUUGUAAAGCUCUUUUGUCAGGGAAGAAACGGCUGCGGCUAAUAUCCGCGGCUAAUGACGGUACCUGAAGAAUAAGCACCGGCUAACUACGUGCCAGCAGCCGCGGUAAUACGUAGGGUGCAAGCGUUAAUCGGAAUUACUGGGCGUAAAGCGUGCGCAGGCGGUUUUGUAAGUCUGACGUGAAAUCCCCGGGCUCAACCUGGGAAUUGCGUUGGAGACUGCAAGGCUGGAGUCUGGCAGAGGGGGGUAGAAUUCCACGUGUAGCAGUGAAAUGCGUAGAGAUGUGGAGGAACACCGAUGGCGAAGGCAGCCCCCUGGGCCAAGACUGACGCUCAUGCACGAAAGCGUGGGGAGCAAACAGGAUUAGAUACCCUGGUAGUCCACGCCCUAAACGAUGUCUACUAGUUGUCGGGUCUUAAUUGACUUGGUAACGCAGCUAACGCGUGAAGUAGACCGCCUGGG